AGAGUUUGAUCCUGGCUCAGAACGAACGCUGGCGGCAGGCCUAACACAUGCAAGUCGAACGCCCACUUCGGUGGGAGUGGCAGACGGGUGAGGAACACGUGGGAACCUACCUAGAGGUACGGAAUAACUUCGGGAAACCGGAACUAAUACCGUAUACGCCCUCCGGGGGAAAGAUUUAUCGCCUUUAGAUGGGCCCGCGUCUGAUUAGCUUGUUGGUGAGGUAAUGGCUCACCAAGGCGACGAUCAGUAGCUGGUUUGAGAGGAUGAUCAGCCACACUGGGACUGAGACACGGCCCAGACUCCUACGGGAGGCAGCAGUGGGGAAUAUUGGACAAUGGGCGCAAGCCUGAUCCAGCCAUGCCGCGUGAGUGACGAAGGCCUUAGGGUUGUAAAACUCUUUCAGCAGGGAAGAUAAUGACGGUACCUGCAGAAGAAGCCCCGGCUAACUCCGUGCCAGCAGCCGCGGUAAU
RNAcentral lists this ribosomal RNA (470 nucleotides) under uncultured bacterium. RNAcentral's name for it is "bacterial SSU rRNA". It matches the Rfam family "Bacterial small subunit ribosomal RNA", at positions 8 to 524 of the family's 1533-position model. The record is from RNAcentral.